GAACUUCUCUUCUACGUUUCAGAGAGAGAGAAAGAGAGAGAGAGAGAGAGUCGGCAAGGGAGAGAGAAGGCUGGGGAAAUUGAAAACCCUAACUUGGUUCGGAGGCGACAACGAGUACCGCAGCUCCACGUAGGAAGUGACUGCGUUGGUUUUCUUUUUGUUGGAGACCGAGUUUUGCAGGUAUAGGUCGGUGUCCACUACAGGUCGCGUUUUGCGUUUUGUGACUCGCUCGAGGAGCGCGCGGUUGAGGCCUGUGGGGAGUCUUGUCUCCUGGCCCGUAGAUGAUAUUUGCCUAGUUUAGUUUUUUGGAUAAUUGUUGGUUAUGUAAAGUUUAUUUUAUUUGACAGACUUCCGCUGUAGUUUGUAAAUGACAAUUAUUUUGAGAUGUAAAUAAAAUGUGGCUGUUGACCUUCA
Molecule: long non-coding RNA, 414 nt
Organism: Rhododendron vialii
Lineage: Eukaryota; Viridiplantae; Streptophyta; Magnoliopsida; Ericales; Ericaceae
Exons: 3
Source: RefSeq, a predicted model, not a curated record